Non-coding RNA from Caenorhabditis elegans, 64 nucleotides. The record is from Ensembl. Lineage: Eukaryota; Metazoa; Nematoda; Chromadorea; Rhabditida; Rhabditidae.
GGUACGUGGACACACACGAAGUUAAUGACGGAUAAUUGAUUUAUGUUUGUUUUGCUGCAAACAC